UUUUAAAUAAUUUUUUUUUAAAAGGGGUUUUUUUUUACUUUUUUUUUUAGGAGGAAUAGAAACUCACAAGGAUUCCCUUCGUAACGGCGAGUGAAGCGGGAAGAGCUCAAAUUGGUAAUCUGGCACUUUCAGUGUCCGAGUUGUAAUCUCUAGAAGUGUUUUACGCGCCGGACCGCAUACAAGUCUGUCGGAAUACAGCGUCAUAGUGGUGAGAACCCCGUCACUGAUGCGGAUGCCCGCUGCUUUGUGAUACACUUUCGAAGCGUCGAGUUGUUCGGGAAUGCAGCUCAAAUAGGGUGGUAAAUUCCAUCUAAAGCUAAAUAUUGGCGAGAGACCGAUUGCGAACAAGUACCGUGAGGGAAAGAUGAAAAGCACUUUGGAAAGAGAGUUAACAGUACGUGAAAUUGUUGGAAGGGAAACGCUUGAAGUCAGACUUGCUAUUUGGAGUUCAGCCCAUGGUGUAUUCUUCAAUUUGCAGGCCAGCAUCAGUUUUCGAGGGUGGAAAAUCGUAGUUUGAAUGUAGCAGUUUCGGCUGUGUGAUAGCUUUCUACUGGAUUCAUCUUUGGGGACUGAGAAACGCAGUGCGCUAUUAGCAAGGCUCUCGAGCUUCACGCACUUGGUUGCAGAUGGAUGCUGGUGAUUU
This 643-nucleotide ribosomal RNA is filed under the name Sampaiozyma ingeniosa. RNAcentral describes it as "partial 26S ribosomal RNA". It matches the Rfam family "Eukaryotic large subunit ribosomal RNA", at positions 1 to 635 of the family's 3401-position model. Lineage: Eukaryota; Fungi; Basidiomycota; Microbotryomycetes; Chrysozymaceae. The record is from RNAcentral.